GGGAGUGACCUUUGCAAGACUGCCUUCUUGCUCAUAUGCCAAGGUGUCCAUGAAGGACAGCAAUGUCAUCUUUCUCCUGGCCACACCUCCACAGAGAACCAGGUACAAGAAAGACUUGAUGGUUCCAUGCCCAGGUCAGAGCUUGCAUCUAGACUGGCACAUCUGAGAAGAUCUUGGGAGACUGUGGACCCAUGAGCUCAGGGCACCAAGCUACAAAUGCUGCCAGGCCCUAUGGCCAGGCCUGUCAUCUGAGCUACUUAGGAGUUUGAGGCAGGAAGAUGGACCUGCAGGGUGGAAGGAGAGACCCAGUUCCUGCUUGUUGUUCUCUGAUCUCCACAAUGCACCACAGCAUUCCGCUCCCCAUGCAAAUAAAUACAUGUAAACUUUUUAUGUUUAAAAUAAAAUAACAACAACAUA
Long non-coding RNA from Mastomys coucha (southern multimammate mouse), 417 nucleotides. RefSeq lists it as uncharacterized. Lineage: Eukaryota; Metazoa; Chordata; Mammalia; Rodentia; Muridae. The transcript is spliced from 2 exons. The record is from RefSeq and is a predicted model, not a curated record.